GACGAACGCUGGCGGCGUGCCUAAUACAUGCCAGUAGAACGCUGAAACUUGGUGCUUGCACCGAGCGGAUGAGUUGCGAACGGGUGAGUAACGCGUAGGUAACCUGCCUGGUAGCGGGGGAUAACUAUUGGAAACGAUAGCUAAUACCGCAUAAGAGUAGAUGUUGCAUGACAUUUGCUUAAAAGGUGCAAUUGCACCACUACCAGAUGGACCUGCGUUGUAUUAGCUAGUUGGUGGGGUAACGGCUCACCAAGGCGACGAUACAUAGCCGACCUGAGAGGGUGAUCGGCCACACUGGGACUGAGACACGGCCCAGACUCCUACGGGAGGCAGCAGUAGGGAAUCUUCGGCAAUGGACGGAAGUCUGACCGAGCAACGCCGCGUGAGUGAAGAAGGUUUUCGGAUCGUAAAGCUCUGUUGUAAGAGAAGAACGAGUGUGAGAGUGGAAAGUUCACACUGUGACGGUAUCUUACCAGAAAGGGACGGCUAACUACGUG
RNAcentral lists this ribosomal RNA (497 nucleotides) under uncultured bacterium. RNAcentral describes it as "partial 16S ribosomal RNA". It matches the Rfam family "Bacterial small subunit ribosomal RNA", at positions 28 to 507 of the family's 1533-position model. The record is from RNAcentral.